UAUUUCUUUUAAUUUUGAUAAUUAUAACUGACAACGAAUGAAAACCCCAACUUCAGUAUCUCAGAAAAUUUGAAUAUUACUUAACAUCAAUACAGAUUCACCAA
Thalassophryne amazonica is the source of this 104-nucleotide long non-coding RNA. RefSeq lists it as uncharacterized. NCBI's taxonomy places the organism in Eukaryota, Metazoa, Chordata, Actinopteri, Batrachoidiformes, Batrachoididae. The record is from RefSeq and is a predicted model, not a curated record. The transcript is spliced from 4 exons.